Molecule: ribosomal RNA, 495 nt
Filed under: uncultured bacterium
Lineage: Bacteria
Description: partial 16S ribosomal RNA
Rfam family: Bacterial small subunit ribosomal RNA
Source: RNAcentral
GACGAACGCUGGCGGCGUGCCUAAUACAUGCAAGUAGAACGCUGAAGGAGGAGCUUGCUUCUCUGGAUGAGUUGCGAACGGGUGAGUAACGCGUAGGUAACCUGCCUGGUAGCGGGGGAUAACUAUUGGAAACGAUAGCUAAUACCGCAUAAGAGUAGAUGUUGCAUGACAUUUGCUUAAAAGGUGCAAUUGCAUCACUACCAGAUGGACCUGCGUUGUAUUAGCUAGUUGGUGGGGUAACGGCUCACCAAGGCGACGAUACAUAGCCGACCUGAGAGGGGGAUCGGCCACACUGGGACUGAGACACGGCCCAGACUCCUACGGGAGGCAGCAGUAGGGAAUCUUCGGAAAUGGACGGAAGUCUGACCGAGCAACGCCGCGUGAGUGAAGAAGGUUUUCGGAUCGUAAAGCUCUGUUGUAAGAGAAGAACGAGUGUGAGAGUGGAAAGUUCACACUGUGACGGUAUCUUACCAGAAAGGGACGGCUAACUACGUG